AUUCCCCACUGCUUCAAUGUGUACUCCUUUACUAGGUCUUCUGAACCCUGAGGUAAAACAAACCUUGUAAGUAGCUUGUCCCACAUUCUUGUGAUUUCAUUUUGGUCCACAUUUGCCCACUCCCUGACUGUGAUGUCAAGAUGGUCCCUAACUAAGAAUCCAAGUGCUUUACGCCACUUAGGUAAGGCCUCUGGAGGAGCUAGGGGUUGUCCUGUCGGGCUCACAUCUGUAAUUCUAAAUGUGACUUUUGGAAACUGAUUCAAUCCUCUGUCACCUCAUUUCCUUUUUCUAUCAUCAGUCUUCUCGGUGGUUGUCUCGGUCGUCGGUUCGGGUGCACCUUCAUGUGUGAAUUCUUCCUGGGAUAUGAUCUCUUUCAGCUCAUGAAACUGAGAUAACACCUCC
RNAcentral lists this long non-coding RNA (402 nucleotides) under Sorghum bicolor (sorghum). RNAcentral describes it as "long non-coding RNA (SBIC_LNC007161)". Lineage: Eukaryota; Viridiplantae; Streptophyta; Magnoliopsida; Poales; Poaceae. The record is from RNAcentral.